UGAAAUGAAAUCUGUUGCUAGGUGCGUGCAUGCUUGGAUAUAAGGGUGCGAGCAUCCAUGUAUUGGGCAUGUUUUUGGAAUGAAACUUCUUUCUCCCUAUUCUUCUAAUCUUCCUCUCCUUUUCCUCUCUGAGAUCUCUCUUCCCUAUAUGAAUUCUGUAUUCUCUGUUCAUAAUAAUCCAAUUACUGAGACUUGUCCCAUUUCAGCUGCUAAGGUAUUAAACUAAUUAAUCUAGUUCCUUACAUGUUGUUACCAUGUUAUUUGCGGGUCAAAUUGUCUCACAACUUUGGGGAUGACUGAUCAUGGGGUCUGUUGAUGAUCUUGGGCAGUCUUUGUGGGUUUCGUCUUUGUUGUAGUCUUUCCAUUGAUUGAUAUUUGGCUAAAUGUUAAUAUUUAAGGUCAAUUCAUGGUGUUUGUGCUUGGAUUUAGUUCCAGUUAGCUUCACCAGAAUUUCUGCUCUCUGAAUAUCCUGGUGAUGUUCGUGUUUUGGAUUUAUCGGUGGUGGGCAUGGCUAGAAUGGUUUUUUGCAGAUUCCGGUGAUAUCCCCUGCGUUUUUCGGUGUUCUUCGCCAGAUUUCUUGGGGGUCAACUUCAGUGGACUGAUUGAUUUCUUUUGGACCCAAUCUUUAGUGGUUGCAAAUAUUCGGAUAAUUGACUGCACGCGUGACCUUUUGAUUUGGAUUUCUAUUGGGGUUCAUCACGUGGGCCAACUGGUCACGUGGGUUUCAUAUGAUGCAGAUAUGUUUUGCUCCAUGGGACCCAUACAAUUUGCAAGCUGAAUUUACUUUUGGGCUUCAUGCUGAUUGCUUUGCCGAGUUGGUUUCUAGUUAUGGAUCCUCUCGCGGGCUUCUCUUUUGGCAACUGAGCUCCAUUUUGGGGCCUUUAAUUGUCGUGUAAUUCCUAAACCUAACCUUGGGUUGUGCGGUUUAAUUUUUAAAGUUAGGUUUUUGGAUUUUCCUAGUUUUUCUAGGUGUUAUAGUCCCUACGGGAGAGGACUAUGCCUUGAGCUUCAUUGUACAAUUUAAUUUUUUGUAAUUUUUAUACAGACCAAAUUAGCAAAAAAAAUAAAAAAUAAUACUCAUUAGAAUUACCAAUAUUAGUUUUCCAUUAAAUAUGCAAUUAAAAGCUCAUGUUUGCGCUUGACUGCCUAUGGCGCUGUAG
This 1160-nucleotide long non-coding RNA is filed under the name Panax ginseng (ginseng). RNAcentral describes it as "long non-coding RNA (PGIN_LNC011285)". Lineage: Eukaryota; Viridiplantae; Streptophyta; Magnoliopsida; Apiales; Araliaceae. The record is from RNAcentral.